UAGGAUGAUCGAUGGUAGGGGACACAUUGCGCUGCAAUAUGGCGUGCGCUCGCAAAACACCUGAAAAACGUGCCCCCAGCAAAAGCUUCCUUUGCUAUUUAGGCACCAAAGACAGAGUCCGCUUGCAAGCACCGACCGCAACUACCAGACCAUUGCUUGUGAGGUGUCGCUGCCAUGCACGCACUAUAGAGUGCCUGCCCGAGAGUCCCAGUGGCGCCCCCUUUGCUCGAGGGGUGGCAACAACUUUCCAGAGGAACCCCCCACUCCCGCCUCCCACCGGCCCGCAAACAGAUCUGAAAAACAGAAUUUAACACAGUUUGCCGAAUGUUACAAGGCUGACCAAGUCUAGUAUGAGUUGAUGAAUGAUCUGACACAGAACCAUUGUGUCUAACCAGGAAUGGUUCCUAUGACUUCUAAGAAUACCAGAGGGAACGGAAUGGCACCCUGCUGUUUAACUAAACUGACAACAUAGAAGGGAACAACAGAGGUUGGAAAAGCCGAAUGCAUUUGCCAACCAUUUAUUACCACGGAGUCUUCCGACUGCUUGUCCAAAUUGCAACCACGCCUCUUCCUUUCUUUGGGCAUAAAGAGCGAGCAAGCUAUUGUUUUAAAAUAUAUUGUUGUCGUGGAAUCUUCACAGAUUUUUCGCUGUGGUCAAGACUUAACGAUCUGAAGAUCAACUAUUUUCAGAAAUAGUUGAAACAGCAUACAGCAUGAUUUAUUCAGGGUUUCCUUCUCAUCGGCAGGUGUCAGAGCCAUCCCGUGAGAUGUCGACAAUGAGAGGAGAGCUUUCUGUAAGAAUAAUAAAAGAAAACAUGGAAGAAAAGAAAUCCCAAUGAUUGAGAAAAGUGUCAUGACUAUGCGAAAGAUGGCGCCACCACUCAGAAUUAUUUUGGUGAAUUCAUAAUCUCUUGGAAAGGAAGACAAUCCAGGGAAAGCUACAAAAUGGUAAGUGGAUCUGCUUGAUGCCAGCAUUUAAUGGUAGAUUCGUCUGAUUUACGACUCCAGUUCGAGGACACGGUCUUCUUCUUUCCACUUCAUUCUUUCAUUACAGCUUGAAGUUAGACGAUUUCCAAAAGUUUGUAAAGAUGGAAGACGGACAACCGUUUGAUGGCUUUGAAUCAAAAUUCGUUAUCGCUGCAACCAACAUCUUUCAUGAAAGAAAAAGAAGAUAAGCCCCUUUAUUGCUGAAGGAUGGUUUAAUUUACCACAAUAAUUGUCUGAUGAAGAAAAUUCUUUGAAAAGCAAGAGUUAAUGGCAGAUCAUCAAUCGAAAUGACUGAAGAUUCUUAAAUCUGAUGAUCUUCAUUUGAGACAUAUUUUUAUAAAGUUCUAUGACGUACAUUUUCAAUUCUCUCUUAUUCAUAAAAAAUGCAUUAUAAUGCAAUUGUUAUACAAAUAUUUUCUAAAUAAUUUUAUUACUCCGUCAUGGAUAAAUAAGAAAUUAAUUCCUUAUUUAUCCAUUAAGAUUAAAAUUAUCAAUAGUUUUGUUGCUUAAACAAGAUAUUGCUUUUAAAAACUCAAGUAUUUAAAUGUGCCUAUGCUUAUAGAAGUCUUUACAAAAUACUACUUUCAAUGCGCAACCAAGCACAAUCAUUAAUAGCCUUCUUCUAAAAGCAAUAAGCAUCACAAAGCAUUAUUUCUUGAAUAAUUUUAUUAAAAUAAAGGGAGGUUUUCUGUUUGCCAAGCCUCUGUAAACAGAAGCUCAAUUUUCGAUAUCUUAAAAUGCAAAGGUCAAGGAUAAAGUUAUUCAGUAUCUCCACCUAUAAUCGCAUGCAAGUUGUGAAGUUACGAUAAAAAUAAAUACUCUAUGAAAUAUAAUGGAUUAUUUGCAUUGCUUAAAACAUUUUAUUAUGCCCUAUGGUUUAAGUGUCUAAAUAAAAAUAACAAAACUUACUUCAAUGAUGUUCCUUGAUAUAUCAUCACCAGACAGUUAUGAGAAUAGACGACUUCAAUUCCUCUUAUUGAUGACCCGCUUAUUAUUUCAAUAACAAACAAAGUGCGGUGAAAUAAAAAAAUCACCACUAAUAAAAAGUUAUUAAUAUUUUUGAGUCGUGUCAUUUCUUAUUACUUUAAAUAUUUACUAUGCAGUUAAAGCAGACCGGGAAAUGCAUUAUUAGCAUGCGUAACAGUAAAAACAUUUCAUUAGAUGGUGCGGAAAUUAUCAUGAAGAUUACAAUAAUAAAAUGGGUACUUUAGAAAUCAGUAGAUAAAUCUAUACUGUUAUUCUGAUGAUUGAUGCUUAGUAUUCAAGGGCGAGUUAUCCAUCACAUUUUAGGUGUGUUAUGAAGUAAUAGUCCGAUUAACAACGAAAAAAGGACGUUGCUACACAUAUACGUUAUGUGAAUAUAAAUUAGUAGAAACUCAUCUCAUAUUUCAAAAAUAGCAAGCAUGCAACCAUAAAUGAAUGCAAUAUAUAAAGUAGACAUUGUUUCUCUUCAAUAAUGAAGCUGACUAAUAAUACAUAAUUUGAUUAAUACAAUGUUUUUUUU
Argiope bruennichi is the source of this 2491-nucleotide long non-coding RNA. RefSeq lists it as uncharacterized. The record is from RefSeq and is a predicted model, not a curated record. The transcript has 9 exons. NCBI's taxonomy places the organism in Eukaryota, Metazoa, Arthropoda, Arachnida, Araneae, Araneidae.